Molecule: long non-coding RNA, 1164 nt
Organism: Poecilia reticulata (guppy)
Lineage: Eukaryota; Metazoa; Chordata; Actinopteri; Cyprinodontiformes; Poeciliidae
Source: RefSeq, a predicted model, not a curated record
GUUGCCCAUAAUGAUUUUAUAAACAUUUUGCCAGCAGAUCAAUACCUGUAUUGAUCAGGCAUUGUGAGAGUGAUCCGUCUAAAACCCAGAACAGCCUAGAGCUCAGAGGUGGGAGGAGCAAAAGAGAGAGGCUGAAUAGAGGAUGGCGAAGGAGAGCGAGUCUGCAACCACAGUGAAAACGAAAAGAGGUGCAAGGUUGGAAGAGACUGAGGGAGAGGCGGACGCAGAGACGGAAGCAGAAAGAAACUCUUAAAGAAGAGACGGAGGAGGCUGAGAGCACACUGCUGCUCUGAAUCUAAUUGCUGCAAAAUGAUCAAAACUUAUAUUUCCUGAAACAUCCUUAACAUUCAGGAGAGGAAUAAUUCCACAUCACCAUUAUGGAAGAAGAACUGCAGAAGCAUAUUAAAUGUAGAGGCAAUGCUAAUACCAAAAGACAAACAUGGCAACAUGACGACCAUCUUCAACGUACAGGAUUGCUGCCGCUUUGUAAACACGUGGAUGGCUGGCUUUUUGGAAUACUUUUUUACUGUCUGGGAAUUCUCUAAAUUGGAUGAUUGCUUUACAUUUAAAACACAAGUAGGAGAUUUACUGAAGCUGAGAUGACUCACUGGAUGACUCAACACAAGUUCAAGGCCACAAUCUGCCCUGCGCUGGAGGACAAGUCAAAUGCUUUUGCUGUCAUUCCCUCAUGCUGUGGGGAAAUCAAGCUUCAUUGAUUGGUUUUUAAAUAAGAUGUGUUGUGCAUAAAUGAGGAUCUGAAGGAAGAUGAAUUCCUCAAACGAACUGUGGGGGAAGACCUUGAUGCUCAUGAACUCAUGUGCUCUGGAGACUAGUGUGGAAGCACUCAAUGAAAAAGGCCUGAUGGCUCAUGCCUCUUUGACCAAGCUAAAAAAAAAAAAAGAAAGAAAAAGGAUUUAGGCUUAUCAAGGCUUAUUAAGGGCAUGAGACACUUGUAAACAAUUUUCCUAAUGAAUUAACAAAAUACACUGGGCAAAAAUUUCAUCAGCUGACCUUUUGUGAAUCUUCUCACCUUUCAAACAAAGCAUUUUACUGGGAUUUUAUGAAAUAGACCAAUACAAAUAAUGGACUACUGUGAGCCAAAAGGGAAAGGAUAGAAAGACUUAAAAACACUGCACAAAUAAAACCUGGGAACUAUGGUGUGUA